ACACACACACAAGCUGUCUCUCCUUUUGACAACACACUUGUCUCCUAACCUUUAUCCCUCUCUCCAGCUCUCCUACCAUCCAUCCGGUCUAACCGCCCACCAGCUUUCCCGACGCCCCCUCCCUCCCGCAGGCUCCCCUCCCCCGCCUCUCCAGAAACCACGCCCCCAGCCCCUGGGUUCGGCCCCGGCCCCCCUCAGGCACGCGCAUGCCCACUGGACUUCCUCUCGCUCAACCCUAUCUGGCCCAGACAGCCGCCAGGCUGCCUCCGAAAUGACCCAGCAUUUGGCCCAGGACCCCACCCUUCACUCAGUCCCGAGCGCUAAGAAUCAGGAGGACAGCCUUCUGACAUCCAGGAGCUGUGUCAUCCGCUGUUUUGGGGAUGUCUUGAAUCUGCCUGGAGUCCAUCUUUGUAUUUAGUGUUAGGCAGGGAUCCAGUACUUUGGGCUGCAUGGACUCGGCCAGUUUUCUCAAGGAUGUCUACCAAAUAAUGGGCCCUUCGCCCCAUCGAUUCGUGGCGCUUCCUUAUAAGCUUCCCAGCAUCUCUGAGCCAGAAGAACCGAGAAAGACCAACACCUUGAUUGGAGAAGUGAGUACCCUGACAGGCGCUCCACCAACAUUGUUUGGAACAAAACUUGAGUGGGUGAAAGAUGAAAAAUGUGUGUGUAAAACAUGCAGAAGAAAAGACAGCCAACGUUGGAAUGAACUGAGCAACGAGAUAAAUAAAGUGGUAAAGUGUAAAAUAACUAUCCGUGAGUCCAUAUUGAUAUAAAUGAAUGACUGAAUAAAUUUACAGAUAAGUGAA
Felis catus (domestic cat) is the source of this 803-nucleotide long non-coding RNA. RefSeq lists it as uncharacterized. Lineage: Eukaryota; Metazoa; Chordata; Mammalia; Carnivora; Felidae. The transcript has 4 exons. The record is from RefSeq and is a predicted model, not a curated record.